RNAcentral lists this signal recognition particle RNA (272 nucleotides) under Candidatus Woesearchaeota archaeon. RNAcentral describes it as "signal recognition particle sRNA". It matches the Rfam family "Archaeal signal recognition particle RNA". The record is from RNAcentral. Lineage: Archaea; Nanobdellati; Candidatus Woesearchaeota.
UGGCGGACUUGGUUGGGGGGUUAGCCCUCCCCUGUCACCGUGAACGGGCUUUACACGGGACGACGUCUGAAGAGCAGCGCACAACGGAUGUGAAUGUCAUAUAUCUAACGACGACGUUCUGUCCGGUAGGAUUGUGGCUCGCUUGAACCGCGCCAGGCCAGGAAUGGAGCAACGCUAAAGGCAGUUCUCAAUGCUUAUCGGGUAGCGGAACCGAGAAGGGUAUAUGGCCUCUUUGCAUUCGCUUAUGCGUUCACCUUUAGGCACGUCCGCCU